UUAGGGUUUCUGAAUCAUUCCUUUAUGUAUGAUUUCUUAUGUACUGAAACCCUAGACUACUCCCCGCCUCCAAAACUUCCUCAAAAACUUCUCACUCAAAACCCUCGUUCUGUGCUAUAAAUUCAUCUAGAACUCUUCCUCUUCGAAGUUCUUCUAUGCGUAUCGCUGGCUGUUGGACAGCUCGUAAAUUUCUGGGCUGGCAAGAAAGUAUAAUCUUGAAGAAGCCCAGAUGCUCGUGCAAAAACUAAGCCAGUACCAAUUAGAAGGCUCGAAUUCCUUUUUGUUUUUUAGUUUAAUUUUGGCUACGAUUAAUUGGUUAUCUGCGCUUCUGAGAUUUAUGAUACUUGAAUUAUGAACUUGAAUAAUGGUUGAAUUUCAUGAUAUUGAGCUGAAACUUAAUUUAUUUUAUAUUUUUGUUUUAAAUUUUUAGAAUUUGAAUUUUCUCUUGAAUUUGUGUGGGCAGGGAUGACUUUUUUACAGCUUUUUAAUGCCAGUUCUGCUUCAGAAAAUUCUUGAUUGAUAAAGCUGUUUAUUUCUGAGCCAAUUUUUAUUAGUCACGCUACAUGUAUAUCAUAUUUGACAUUUUUGUUUACAUGGUAAUACAUCAUUGGACAGUUUAAAAGAAAGUCUUUUCGGCCACAAUUUUUUCGAAAACAUGGAUGAUGUUAUCAUCAAUUCAAAGAAAAAUCUGUACAAACAGCAUUAUUCAAAAUUAUAACUUGAGAAAGUAAACGAGAAUUCAAUUGAUAUAAAAAAUGAAUAAUGCUCUGCACAGCUUUUCCAUCCUUUUUGUUUCCAAAAAAAAUUGUGGACAGGAAAAUAGUCUUUUUUAUUUUUUUAAUUGUCCUGUUGUCAUGUGACAAAAUGUAAACAAAGAUACUAAAGAAUGUACAUGUAGCAUGAUUGUAUAAUUUUUAUCUAACUUGGUGUAUUCCAUUAAUUAAUCGUGUUUAUUACUGAUUUAAUUAUUUUUUUAUUUUUUUGUUCAAAAUCGCAUGUUGAAUCAGCUUUAUCUUUCAUUCAAAUUUUGAAUAAUAAUAAUAAUAAUAAUAAAUUGUUUUCUGUUGGAGGCUAGAAAUUAUCUUAUAUAUAGUCCAUGAUGAGUUAAUCUACAUAACUGAGAUGUGGCUGGCUUCAAGUUCCUGCUUUUCAGGGAGAACCUACUUGUGGCUGCUACAUCAUAGCAUGAAAUCACUGGAAAUCUCUGAGACUAUAUUAUCUACUAAAAGAGGUUUUUGCUGACUUCAAUUUAUUGACACACUGCGUUUAUUAGAAACAAUGCUUCUAUUCCCUGCGUGCUUCUGAAACAUUAGCUGAGAAGACUUCUUUUGUUUUUAGCUGAUUGAUAAAGCUGUUUAUUUCUGAGACAAAUUUUUUAAACAUAUUGAAUUCUCUUUCUACAAAAUCCAAUGUUGACUCAACUCUUAUCUUUCAUUCGAUAAUUGUGAAUAAUGAUAAACAGUGUUUUGUGUUGGAGGCUAGAACUUAUUUUAUUUGUAGUCCAUGAUUAGUUAGUCCACAUAAUUGAGAUGUGGUUGGUCUCAAGUCCCUGUUUUCCAGGGAGAACCUACUUGAGGAUGCUACAUCAAAGCAUGAAAUCAGUGGAAAUCUCUGAGGCUAUACUCUUCUAAAGAAGGUUCUUUGUCGACUCCAAUUUUAUUGACUGGGUCUACAUUUAUUACAAACUUUGUUAUUUAAUGUUUGGCAGUGCUUCAAAGUGGGUUCUUAACUGCUUUUCUCUGUAUGCUGCUGAGAAUUUGGCUAAGAAUCCUUCUUUGAAGCACAGCCAAACAAGCUGUUAGUAUGGGGAAUUUUUGCAGUUCUGAUGUAUAAAUUUGCAAUCAAGAGUGCCAAUGAUGCUACGUUGGAUAGUAAAUGAGGUGUAGUUAACCCAAGUCCCUGCUUUUGCAGUGGAACCUGCUUGGUGGAGCUACACUACACGUGAUCAAAGCUUAUCUACUGAGGCGAAGAGUAUGUGUGUGUGUAUAUAUAUAUUAUUAUUAUUUUUUUUUCCCCAAGAAAAUAACAAUUUCCCUCAAAUAUAUUUAAAGAAACUUGAGUACUGUUCUUUUAUUAAUCUUUAUUGGCAAUUGAUUAUGUGGAUUGAAAUUGAGUUUAACUAUACUCUUUGCCCUUGAAUAAACAUUGGGUUUAGGGUCUGAAGAACUCAUAAAUUGUUGUGUUGUCUAUCAGCUUCAUCUCUGUUAAUAUUCCACGAGAAUGGAGUUAAAUAACAGCGCUACAUGUAAAUUUUAAGAAAAUUUUCAUUUAUUAUUUAAUAAAAUCUAAAUUAUCAAACGUUCAGAGGUGGAAUUGGAAUCAGUUUGGUUUUGGUGUCAAAACUUGUUAUAAGCAUUUUUGUCCUACAGAAGUCGUUUUCGGCUUUCAAGCUGAGCUAAACAUGCUUUAAUGUAAAAUAUUAUAGGAACUAGUUAUGUGUAAUGUGGUUUACGAAUAGGGGUUAGCUUCCCCUAGUAAAUAUUGAGAGCAUUAUCUUCAUUUUAUCAUGUUAAUUAGCCCAUGUUUGGUUUAGUUAGAAAUAAGAUUUUUAUUAGAAUCUGCUAUGAAAUUCCAAAUUUUGAAAUUAACAAUAGUGGUCCAAAAGUUGACUCCCUUGUGUACACUUUUCUUUGAAGUAUCAAAUGUAUAACUUGAUAAGCAUGUCUAAAGGCUAUAUUACCCUUGCCAUUACAUAAACAAAACCUAUCACUUUGGUGUAUCUUGGGCCAAAAAGCUGCUCAACAACGUGAUUGUGUCAUGAAAUUACGUAUCAAAUUGAAAAUCCGAACAGGGCAAACUUGUUAAAAGCAAAAGUACUGAUGGAAUGAGAUGUUAUGUUUCUUCUGUGUCACAAUUUAUCUUUGCUAAAAACAUAAAAUAUUAAUGGUCCCCAUAUUACUCUCUGAAGUAAUCUCAUGUAAAAUUCAUCAGCAUUCUAAACUUCUGUUGAUUAAUGAAAUCAUAUUUUGUUAGUAAGUAUAGUUUCAAUUUUAAAAUGGUGUAACAAUCAUUUUGUAAUAUUAGUAUUAAUAUUCUAUUUAUUAGAAAAGAUGAAAGAUUGUGCAUUUUACAUUAGGAUUAACAAAAGAGGGUGCACGUUAUAAGAUUACUUUCAUACGGUAUCUUGAAUAUCGUUAUAUUAGUUAGCUGAUGCCAUGUUAUCAAGUUAUAUUAAAAUGCCUCUUAAGGUCGUGUAGAUCAAGGUAUUUUAAGGUAUUAGUUUCCCAUAAGUAGGAUGUGAAAUUAUCUUUACUUUGAUUGGACUAUAGAAAUGUCAAAUUGUGUGGGCUAGGUUGAAUCAACUCGGUUGUCUUGGAAUAUUUUGGCCCUUAAUUGGCUUGUUUGGUAGAUAAGCCCAUGGCUUAUAAGUUAUAGGUAUUGGUGUUAGUUGCACAACAUUUUACUUGUGUUUUAUCGUCAAGACACAGAGUUAGUAAUACAAACAUGACUCUGUAGAUUGAAGAACAUUUUCCAAUUUCAUUUCCAUGUCUUACAUGAAACCAAAAUGCGUCUCAUUUUAUGAUAAAAUCUACUUCAUUCUCUUGAAUGACAAAUUCAAUGAUCUAUACAAUUGGCUAUAUUUUGAAGUAUAAUUCUAGUUAAUGUUAAUAAAAUUUGUGACUAGAACUGCAGUAGAUAUUUUAGUUUUUGUGUUGUGUCUUGCAUUAUUUUCUAAGGAAACAUUUGGUUAUCUUUGUGUCUGAUCUUGUAUAUAGUUGUAAUUGUCUGAGAUGACCAUAUGAUUGUUUAUUGAUUAGGUAAAUAAUUUCUCAAAACAGUAUGCUUUACAUGUUUAUUACUUUGGCUCAAUACCAAUAAAUCUCGUUCUACACGCUAAACCAUAGGUGCCACCCUCGUCUUUCUCGUCUUGAAUCCCAGUUUCAUCAUCCUCCACCAGGGUUGAAUCACAAACUCGUCAAAUCUCUGCGUCCUUUUAUUCUUCGACCACUCAACUUUGUGAACGAGGUCAACGUUGAAGCACAAUAUCGAAGUAAUGGUUGAAUUUCUUGAUGAGACAAAUCAUAGUUUUAUUAUAUUUUAUUUAUAUAUGUUUUUUGAUUUUUAGAAUUCGAUUUAUGGUUUCAGUUGGUGUUGGCAGUGAUAAGCAUUUUGACAGCUUUUUAUUGCUUAUCACUGUCAGUUCUGGUUGAGAAAAUUGUUCAUUGAUAUAUCUAUGAUUUUCUGUCAGUCACUUUAACACAAAUAAUUCUUUUGCAUUAUAUGUUAUUUUCCCAAAUUUUAAUAAUCUCCCUGCAUUGAUUAUUUCAUUAAACAAUCAUUCUUGUUACUGUUCUUCUAAUUACUUUUGUCAAAAUUUAAUAAUUUUGUGUUGGAAACUAGAACGUUAUCUUAUAUAUGAGGAGUUAAUCCACGUAAUUGAGGUGUAGAUGGCCUCAAGUCCCUGUUUUACAGGGAGAACCUACUUCAGUUGCUGUAUGAAAGCAGGAAAUCACUGGAUAUCUCUGAGGCUAUAUACUUUAAUACAAUGUAAUUUUUAUUUUAUUUUAUUUUUUUUCAAAAUACUGAUGUGAGCCUGAUUAAGUAAUAAAAGAAGUUUU
This 4559-nucleotide long non-coding RNA is filed under the name Olea europaea subsp. europaea. Lineage: Eukaryota; Viridiplantae; Streptophyta; Magnoliopsida; Lamiales; Oleaceae. The record is from RNAcentral.